RNAcentral lists this transfer RNA (99 nucleotides) under Deltaproteobacteria bacterium. RNAcentral describes it as "tRNA-Ser". It matches the Rfam family "tRNA". Rfam says of the family: Transfer RNA (tRNA) molecules are approximately 80 nucleotides in length. Their secondary structure includes four short double-helical elements and three loops (D, anti-codon, and T loops). Further hydrogen bonds mediate the characteristic L-shaped molecular structure. tRNAs have two regions of fundamental functional importance: the anti-codon, which is responsible for specific mRNA codon recognition, and the 3' end, to which the tRNAs corresponding amino acid is attached (by aminoacyl-tRNA synthetases). tRNAs cope with the degeneracy of the genetic code in two manners: having more than one tRNA (with a specific anti-codon) for a particular amino acid; and 'wobble' base-pairing, i.e. permitting non-standard base-pairing at the 3rd anti-codon position. The record is from RNAcentral. Lineage: Bacteria; Pseudomonadati; Myxococcota; Myxococcia.
CGGGGCGUAGCGCAGCCAGAUACGCACAGCUUGCUGGAGCGCAGCGAAUCUGACUUCGGGAACAGGGGGCCGGAGGUUCAAAUCCUCUCGCCCCGACCA